CUAGACUAAAAGCACUUAUUACUCACAUGGCAUGAUUAUAAGUGCUUUUCCUUUUUUUUUUUUUAGUCAUUUUAUUGGUACUGGGGAAUGAAUCCUGAGGUGCUUAACUAAUGAUCUUUUUAUUUUUUAUUUUGAGACAAGAGCUUGCUAAGUUGCUCAGUGCCUUGCUAAGUUGCUGAGGCUGGCUUUGAACUUGCAAUCCUCUUGCCUCAGCCUCUGAGCCAUUGGGAUUACACUGGCUAAUUCUGAACAAAUGUAAAAUGUACAGAGAAAAUGAUACAAUAUACUGAUUAUGGACUCAGGGACAUUUUAAAAGUAAAAACACAUCUAGGCAAAGUGGCACAUGCCUGUCAUUCCAGCAACUGGAGAGUCUGAGGCAGGAGUAUUGCAAGUUGAGGCCAGCCUGGACAAAUUAGUGAGACCAUCUCUCAAAAUAAAAAUUAAAAUAAAGGGCUGGGGAUGUAGCUCAGUGAUAGAACACCCCAGGGUUCAAUUCCCAGUCCUGCAAAAAAAAAAAAUGGUAAAAAGCAUUGGGCCUUCAGGUGUAGCUCAGUGGUAGAGUUCAUGCUCAAGAUCCUGGGUUCAAUCCCCACAGUACAGCCACUAUGGAAAAUAGUAUUGGGGGGAGGGGCUCCCAAAUAUAAAAAAUAGAGUAACAGUAUGAUCCUUCAGUUCCACUCCUGAAUAUAUAUAUAUAUA
This 699-nucleotide long non-coding RNA is filed under the name Marmota monax (woodchuck). The record is from RNAcentral. Lineage: Eukaryota; Metazoa; Chordata; Mammalia; Rodentia; Sciuridae.